UUGCUUACCCAGCACAUAUAUUAAAAUUAUAAUGAUACAGAGAAGAUUAGGAUGGUCCCUGAACAAGGAUGACACACCAAUUUGUGAAGCAUUUCAUAUUUUU
Molecule: small nuclear RNA, 103 nt
Organism: Artibeus jamaicensis (Jamaican fruit-eating bat)
Lineage: Eukaryota; Metazoa; Chordata; Mammalia; Chiroptera; Phyllostomidae
Source: RefSeq, a predicted model, not a curated record